RNAcentral lists this ribosomal RNA (253 nucleotides) under uncultured bacterium. Its description in RNAcentral is "partial 16S ribosomal RNA". It matches the Rfam family "Bacterial small subunit ribosomal RNA", at positions 524 to 776 of the family's 1533-position model. The record is from RNAcentral.
UACGGAGGAUGCGAGCGUUAUCCGGAUUUAUUGGGUUUAAAGGGAGCGUAGACGGGAAGACAAGUUGGUUGUGAAAUCCCUCGGCUUAACUGAGGAACUGCAACCAAAACUAUCAUUCUUGAGUACUGGAGAGGAAAGUGGAAUUCCUAGUGUAGCGGUGAAAUGCGUAGAUAUUAGGAGGAACACCAGUGGCGAAGGCGACUUUCUGGACAGAAACUGACGUUGAGGCACGAAAGUGUGGGGAGCAAACAGG